Non-coding RNA from Paramuricea clavata, 481 nucleotides. The record is from the annotation of a GenBank genome assembly. Lineage: Eukaryota; Metazoa; Cnidaria; Anthozoa; Malacalcyonacea; Plexauridae.
GCACAAAACAGAUCAAAACUGUUCCUAAUAAGUGUCUCUGUAGGAGUAUAAGUGUUGAGUAAAAGCUUGCAAGGCUCACACUACAAUCUUGAGUUGUGAUUUUAAUAGACAAUUUUAAUCUUUUUUCAUGGCUAACAGUAGAAAGCCCAAUAUCUAGUUGAACAAGUAAAGUUUAUAGUUCAUACAUAAAAUGGCCAGCAAAUUGAUGAAUUUGAAUUUAUGGCGAAUAUGAAUUUAUGGAAAUACUUCAAGUAUAUAGAAAUAGAAGUCAAUGGGUGGGAAGGGAUGCCUAAUCACUCUAAUUUCUAUGCCUGAAAUAACAUUUAAUAUUUGAAAAUUGAAAGGAGAAAAUAACAUAAUGUUCAAUAGCAUGUAGACCAACUUAUAUAGAUAAUAUAGUACAUUCCUGAUUGGAUAUGUAUACUAUUACACUUUUCCAGAUGCCAAGAAAAAUCCAGAGAUGUGUAGACAACUUGAAGAA